UGGAGCGGUCAGUCAGUCAGUCAGUCAUUUAGGGUGAGGGUCAUCUCAAGUGUACGUUGGGAUCGGCGGGGGAUCUAUAGCCGGCGAACAGCAUCGGCAAAACGUAUUUCCAGUCAGAGAAAAAGAAGAGGAAAGCUCUGGCCAGAAGAAAGAAAACAUCAAGAGAAUCGAGAAUAAAAUGGCUGCUGUGUCUUGCAAGUGUGGGCUCAGAGACUAGCUGAGCUGCAACAGUUGGAGGAAGAGAAGAAGAAUCCAUGGCUUAAGAUCUUGUCGUCAAACCUUGUUCUAAAUGGUAAUCCCGGAGCAGAUGGAUUGAUUUUGCUUUCUCUAAUUAAUGGACUGAGUCAGUGGUUUUAGGUUGCUGUGUCGACAGUAGCAGGCGGCAUUCUUCUACAGCAACUUUACUGUCGUGUAGGUCACUGGCUCACCGUGUAUUGAAUAUUGAUACCAUUUAACAUUCAAAGUAGUUUCUUUAGGCUUUGUUCCAUUUUGCCAUAGAGUUUCACUGUGGGAGAAAUGAUACUCAUAUGAAUCACAGCAUAAGAGGAACUGAGGGAGUGUUAUUUAUUGGAUGCCCUCACCUUAAAUCACCGCUUUAUUUAAUAUGUAACUCUUAGGCCAUCUUUAACCCAUGGGUUAUUGUGCCAC
Long non-coding RNA from Argentina anserina (silverweed cinquefoil), 648 nucleotides. RefSeq lists it as uncharacterized. The record is from RefSeq and is a predicted model, not a curated record. The transcript has 3 exons. NCBI's taxonomy places the organism in Eukaryota, Viridiplantae, Streptophyta, Magnoliopsida, Rosales, Rosaceae.